UGGGUGAUGUGGAGAUUCCACAAGGC
Molecule: non-coding RNA, 26 nt
Filed under: Homo sapiens (human)
Lineage: Eukaryota; Metazoa; Chordata; Mammalia; Primates; Hominidae
Source: RNAcentral